Eriocheir sinensis (Chinese mitten crab) is the source of this 719-nucleotide long non-coding RNA. RefSeq lists it as uncharacterized. The transcript is spliced from 4 exons. Lineage: Eukaryota; Metazoa; Arthropoda; Malacostraca; Decapoda; Varunidae. The record is from RefSeq and is a predicted model, not a curated record.
UCAGUUCUUGCUUAUUUGGUCUAUUGGUCUGGUGUUGUUAUCUUGCAGGGAAUAUCAACCAUUACAAAGAUCACAAGUGGAUAAACUAGAACAAAAUACGGCAAAUUAAUGUGUUUUCCUGCCAUGUAUUCCCCAGUGCGCAUGCGUAGUGGACAGCAGAGCGACUUAUUCUGCAAUGAGAUAUUUCUCGCAACACAUGCACGUGGGACUAUUCGGUCUUCCUGCCGCGGAAAAGGCACUGUAAAGAAAGUGUGAUGUGAGGGGUGGAAGCGUCUGAGGGUCCGCCACCGCGACCAAAGGAGGCGGACACAGCAUAAGGGAUGCCCCAGAGAUGUCAAGCCGCGCGGUUUAUGAAAGCGCAACUGUAACACCAACAGUUUGGCCGCCAUCUCACUCUCUGCCUUCAUCUGGAUCUGUAACUCAAGCUCCUUCUCCACCUGCUUCCUGUGGGCACUCUCCUCCUCCAGCUGCAACUUGAGGUCCUGCAUCUCCUCCUCACAGCCAAUCACACUCACACGAUUUGCCUUCUGGGCCUGCCAUGAGGGAGUGGAAAGAGUAGCUGUUAAUAAUGAGAUCAACUCAGAAGCUCAGUAUUAGUAGAGGUUCCGACAACACCCACCCGUUUGGGCUUGAGUCCGUGCCGCAAGACAUGUUCCAAGACAAUGAAGAAGUGUUGCAACGGCACUGAGUCCGAGUCCAGUUGGCGGCCAAACUUUAGG